AGAGUUUGAUCAUGGCUCAGAUUGAACGCUGGCGGCAGGCUUAACACAUGCAAGUCGAGCGGAAACGAUGAUAGCUUGCUAUCAGGCGUCGAGCGGCGGACGGGUGAGUAAUACUUAGGAAUCUACCUAGUAGUGGGGGAUAGCUCGGGGAAACUCGAAUUAAUACCGCAUACGUCCUACGGGAGAAAGCAGGGGAUCAUUAGACCUUGCACUAUUAGAUGAGCCUAAGUCGGAUUAGCUAGAUGGUGGGGUAAAGGCCUACCAUGGCGACGAUCUGUAGCUGGUCUGAGAGGAUGAUCAGCCACACCGGGACUGAGACACGGCCCGGACUCCUACGGGAGGCAGCAGUGGGGAAUAUUGGACAAUGGGGGGAACCCUGAUCCAGCCAUGCCGCGUGUGUGAAGAAGGCCUUUUGGUUGUAAAGCACUUUAAGCAGUGAAGAAGACUCUUCGGUUAAUACCCGGGGACGAUGACAUUAGCUGCAGAAUAAGCACCGGCUAACUCUGUGCCAGCAGCCGCGGUAAUACAGAGGGUGCAAGCGUUAAUCGGAAUUACUGGGCGUAAAGCGAGCGUAGGUGGCUUGAUAAGUCAGAUGUGAAAUCCCCGGGCUUAACCUGGGAACUGCAUCUGAAACUGUUAGGCUAGAGUAGGUGAGAGGGAAGUAGAAUUUCAGGUGUAGCGGUGAAAUGCGUAGAGAUCUGAAGGAAUACCGAUGGCGAAGGCAGCUUCCUGGCAUCAUACUGACACUGAGGCUCGAAAGCGUGGGUAGCAAACAGGAUUAGAUACCCUGGUAGUCCACGCCGUAAACGAUGUCUACUAGUCGUUGGGUCCCUUGAGACUUAGUGACGCAGCUA
This 854-nucleotide ribosomal RNA is filed under the name Psychrobacter sp. 'A4 isolate-7'. RNAcentral's name for it is "bacterial SSU rRNA". It matches the Rfam family "Bacterial small subunit ribosomal RNA", at positions 8 to 854 of the family's 1533-position model. Lineage: Bacteria; Pseudomonadati; Pseudomonadota; Gammaproteobacteria; Moraxellales; Moraxellaceae. The record is from RNAcentral.